UUAGGACCACACAUUUACACUUUCCCUCUCUCUCUCUCUCCCUCUCUCCCGUUGACCCUCUCUUUCUCUCUCUUCCCUCUCGGUUCUUCUCCAUUUUCGUACUGUACGUACGUACGAACGAAACUCAACCAACCUAUCUCUUCACGGAUCAUGGUUGUGAAGACCAUUUUCAAGUUCCUUACGAGCCCAUGAACCCAGUGAUACUAUUAUUUGGACGUGAAACCUUGAAAAACCCGAGAAACCAUAACCUCCAAUUUGAGGUACUGUUCAUGCACACGUAAAUGUGUAGUUUUCUGAGAGUUUUGAAGUUAUAGGGAGCUUUAGAUCGUCUUCACGAGGCUUGGAGAAGAAAAAUGAAGUGAUUUGGACGUCGGGAAGCUCAGGAAUAGGGAGUUGCAGGUUUAGUCGGAACAUCGAAGGAUUUUUCGACGAGUUCCAUCGGUUUUAGGACGAGAUAUGAAGGUUUUCGUGAUUUUCCAGUUUUCGGUGAAUGGCGACGGCGACCGGCAAGGCUAACCGGAGAGGAAGAUAGAAUAUUCCUUCAAAGUUGACGGAAUAUUUUGACGCCGUAAGGUAGAAUUAACAGUUUCUGUUACUUUUUAACGGAAUAUUCCUAACGGGGUUAAGGGAUUCCAAUAGGGUCCCUGCGUGUGGCCGCGUGUGUUGCCGUGCCCUUGUCGGAGCGUGGUGGCAUGUGGGACGUCGGAAAAAUUUUCUAAAAAUAUGGGGAUGUUGAGGUUGUGUAGAUCACAUUGGUAUAUUCAAACAUCCCAUUUGAGCAAUGUAUGAGAAGUUAUUAGCUAGUAUUCGUUAUGUGCUUUAAAUUAACGUUUUUAUAGUUGUUUCGCAUAUAGGGGAGACUUAUCCCGAGGACGAGCGCGGUCAAGGGCGACUCGGGGGCUACGACUCUUUGACAUACCAGUGAGUGGGCUUUUGGUUUUCAGUAUAUACUUAUAUACUUGAUAUUUUCCCAGAAAAUGCGUUUAAAUGAAAGUAUGCCUUGAAAUGCCAUGCAUAUAAAUUUAUGUUCAAUAUAUGAAUUAGUAUAUGAUGCAUACUAUAUAAUUGUGGUGAUGUGGACACUCAGGUAAGUCCAAGUGAGUUUAUGAAUUGUAAAUGUGAAUAAUGAUUAUGAUUAAUUGAGAAGUAUAGAGCUCAUAAACCUGCACCUCGAUGUUCGUGAUUAGUCAGAGAUAUGACACAUGCUUGUAUAUAAUGUCACCUCCUGCACCCUAUGCUCACAUUGGAUCCAAUACAGACCAUUAUAGGUGAUUCCAACUCGUAGAUGACUAGCGAUUUAUCGCACAGCUAUCAUGAGAGCGUAGUAUUGAGCAUAAUUAUAUUACACCCAGUCUUGUUGUACAGACCUUUUCAGUGGUUCCAACUUGUGUGCAGUGUAGUGCCGUAUAGGUCAUUUGCAGUGACUCUGGUUAGAUUGACUAAUGAGCUAUGAAUGCAACCGUACAGACUUCUGCAGGGAUUCCGGCUAAUGUGUUAUUUUCCAUGAAUUUACUUUCACAUGAGUUACUUAUCUUGUUUAUAUCUUGGCAUGACAUACUUAUGAUUAUGAAUAUGUGUAGCAUGAUUUGAAUUGAUAUAUAUAGAUAUAUGUAUACGUUUAUAUUCUAUUUCUAGGAAAAAGUAUACAUGUUUUACGGCGAGGGGUUAGAGCACUUGAAAGUUAAAUGUGUUCUUAAAACCCUUGUUUUUGCCCACUCACGUUUUCUGUUUUGCGCCCCUCCAGGUUUUAGGUAGAAUUGCUGUUGGUGGCAUUGAGGAUCUCGAUGGUUCUGAUAGAAUAAAAUAUUCGUAGGAUAUCUUCUGGUACUAUAUAACUAGUACUUGUCCUACUGGACUGCACCUAGAUUUUCUAUGCUCUGAUUAGGAGUAUUUACUCUUGUAUCUCACUCCUAGCACUUUCCUGCUUAUUAGUGCACAUUAGUACCUUUCGGUUUUUAUUUAUUCGUAU
RNAcentral lists this long non-coding RNA (1969 nucleotides) under Malus domestica (apple). RNAcentral describes it as "long non-coding RNA (MDOM_LNC016525)". Lineage: Eukaryota; Viridiplantae; Streptophyta; Magnoliopsida; Rosales; Rosaceae. The record is from RNAcentral.